Molecule: RNase P RNA, 397 nt
Filed under: Rhizobium leguminosarum
Lineage: Bacteria; Pseudomonadati; Pseudomonadota; Alphaproteobacteria; Hyphomicrobiales; Rhizobiaceae
Also listed under: 1 other name
Description: RNase P RNA component class A
Rfam family: Bacterial RNase P class A
About the family: Ribonuclease P (RNase P) is a ubiquitous endoribonuclease, found in archaea, bacteria and eukarya as well as chloroplasts and mitochondria. Its best characterised activity is the generation of mature 5'-ends of tRNAs by cleaving the 5'-leader elements of precursor-tRNAs.
Source: RNAcentral
CCAGUUGGCUGGGCAGCCGCGCUUUACCAAUGCCGAAAGGCGGUAGGGUGAGGAAAGUCCGGGCUCCACGGAAACACGGUGCCGGAUAACGUCCGGCGAGGGCGACCUCAGGGAAAGUGCCACAGAAAGCAAACCGCCUGUCAUGCAGGUAAGGGUGAAAGGGUGGGGUAAGAGCCCACCGCAUCUCCGGCAACGGAAAUGGCACGGUAAACCCCACCGGGAGCAAGACCGAAUAGGGAUGACGUGGCAGGCCGAAAGGCCUUCCGGCCGGUUUCCAGGCCAGUCAUCCGGGUGGGUUGCGUGAGGCAGCGUGCGAACGCUGUCCCAGAGGAAUGGCUGCCACGUUCCGGUUCACGCCGGAGCCAUACAGAACCCGGCUUACAGGCCAACUGGCGAU